Molecule: ribosomal RNA, 300 nt
Filed under: uncultured Alphaproteobacteria bacterium
Lineage: Bacteria; Pseudomonadati; Pseudomonadota; Alphaproteobacteria
Description: bacterial SSU rRNA
Rfam family: Bacterial small subunit ribosomal RNA
Source: RNAcentral
CGUGGGAAUAUGCCCUUCUCUAAGGGAAUAGCCUCUGGAAACGGAGAGUAAUACCUUAUACGCCCUUUGGGGGAAAGAUUUAUCGGAGAAGGAUUAGCCCGCGUUAGAUUAGGUAGUUGGUGGGGUAAUGGCCUACCAAGCCUACGAUCUAUAGCUGGCUUGAGAGGAUGAUCAGCCACACUGGGACUGAGACACGGCCCAGACUCCUACGGGAGGCAGCAGUGGGGAAUUUUCCGUAAUGGGCGAAAGCCUGACGGAGCAAUACCGCGUGAGGGAUGGCAGCCUGUGGGUUGUAAACCU